AGGAUAAACGCUGGCGGCGUGCCUAACACAUGCAAGUCGAACGCGCUUUUUUCGCAAGAGGAGAGCGAGUGGCGGACGGGUGAGUAACACAUGGGUACCUACCUUGGAGUGAGGGAUACCGGCGAGAAAUCGCCGACAAUACCGCAUACGCUUCUCUUCACCGGGAAGCAAAGUUGCGCAAGCGACGCUCUGAGAUGGGCCUGUGGCCGAUUAGCUAGUUGGUGGGGUAACGGCCUACCAAGGCGACGAUCGGUAGCUGGUCUGAGAGGACGAUCAGCCACACUGGGAUUGAGAACGGCCCAGACUCCUACGGGAGGCAGCAGUGGGGAAUAUUGCACAAUGGGCGCAAGCCUGAUGCAGCGACGCCGCGUGGGGAUGACGGCCUUCGGUGUAAACCCUUUCGAGUAGGGACGAAGCGCAAGUGACGGUACCUACAGAAGAAGCACCGGCCAACUACGUGCCAGCAGCCGC
RNAcentral lists this ribosomal RNA (471 nucleotides) under uncultured bacterium. RNAcentral's name for it is "SSU rRNA". It matches the Rfam family "Bacterial small subunit ribosomal RNA", at positions 26 to 518 of the family's 1533-position model. The record is from RNAcentral.